ACUGGGCGUAAAGGGUCUGUAGGUGGUUUGUUAAGUCAGAUGUGAAAGCCCAUGGCUCAACCUUGGAACUGCAUUUGAUACUGGCAAACUAGAGUAUGGUAGAGGAAUGGGGAAUUUCUGGUGUAGCGGUGAAAUGCGUAGAGAUCAGAAGGAACACCAAUGGCGAAGGCAACAUUCUGGACCAAUACUGACACUGAGGGACGAAAGCGUGGGGAUCAAACAGGAUUAGAUACCCUGGUAGUCCACGCUGUAAACGAUGAGUACUAGCUGUUGGAUUCGGUGUAAAGGAUCUAGUGGCGUAGCUAACGCGUUAAGUACUCCGCCUGGGGACUACGGCCGCAAGGCUAAAACUCAAAGGAAUUGACGGGGACCCGCACAAGCGGUGGAGCAUGUGGUUUAAUUCGAUGCAACGCGAAGAACCUUACCUGGUCUUGACAUCCUGCGAACUUUCUAGAGAUAGAUUGGUGCCUUCGGGAACGCAGUGACAGGUGCUGCACGGCUGUCGUCAGCUCGUGUUGUGAAAUGUUGGGUUAAGUCCCGCAACGAGCGCAACCCCUAUUGAUAGUUACCAUCAUUAAGUUGGGUACUCUAUUGAGACUGCCGCUGACAAGGCGGAGGAAGGUGGGGACGACGUCAAGUCAUCAUGGCCCUUACGACCAGGGCUACACACGUGCUACAAUGGGUAUUACAGAGGGCAGCGAAGUAGCGAUAUGGAGCGAAACUCAGAAAGGUACUCUUAGUCCGGAUUGCAGUCUGCAACUCGACUGCAUGAAGUCGGAAUCGCUAGUAAUCGCAGGUCAGAAUACUGCGGUGAAUACGUUCCCGGGUCUUGUAC
RNAcentral lists this ribosomal RNA (835 nucleotides) under uncultured bacterium. RNAcentral's name for it is "bacterial SSU rRNA". It matches the Rfam family "Bacterial small subunit ribosomal RNA", at positions 553 to 1386 of the family's 1533-position model. The record is from RNAcentral.